UACGUAGGCAGCUGAGCGUUGUUCGGAGUUACUGGGCGUAAGCGUGCGUAGGCGGUGUCUUAAGUUUGUUGUGAAAUCUCCCGGCUUAACCGGGAGGGUGCGGCGAAUACUGAGAUGCUGGAGUGCGGGAGAGGUAAGCGGAAUUCCUGGUGUAGCGGUGAAAUGCGUAGAUAUCAGGAGGAACACCUGCGGUGUAGACGGCUUACUGGACCGUAACUGACGCUGAAGGCACGAAAGCGUGGGUAGCAAACAGG
RNAcentral lists this ribosomal RNA (254 nucleotides) under uncultured bacterium. RNAcentral describes it as "partial 16S ribosomal RNA". It matches the Rfam family "Bacterial small subunit ribosomal RNA", at positions 524 to 776 of the family's 1533-position model. The record is from RNAcentral.